RNAcentral lists this transfer RNA (76 nucleotides) under Candidatus Omnitrophota bacterium. Its description in RNAcentral is "tRNA-Ala". It matches the Rfam family "tRNA". From Rfam's summary of the family: Transfer RNA (tRNA) molecules are approximately 80 nucleotides in length. Their secondary structure includes four short double-helical elements and three loops (D, anti-codon, and T loops). Further hydrogen bonds mediate the characteristic L-shaped molecular structure. tRNAs have two regions of fundamental functional importance: the anti-codon, which is responsible for specific mRNA codon recognition, and the 3' end, to which the tRNAs corresponding amino acid is attached (by aminoacyl-tRNA synthetases). tRNAs cope with the degeneracy of the genetic code in two manners: having more than one tRNA (with a specific anti-codon) for a particular amino acid; and 'wobble' base-pairing, i.e. permitting non-standard base-pairing at the 3rd anti-codon position. Lineage: Bacteria; Pseudomonadati; Candidatus Omnitrophota. The record is from RNAcentral.
GGGGCUGUAGCUCAGUUGGGAGAGCAACAGGCUGGCAGUCUGUGGGUCAGGGGUUCAAAUCCCCUCAGCUCCACCA